UGUCAAGUCAUCAUGGUCCUUAUGUCCAGGGCUACACACGUGCUACAAUGGUCGGUACAGAGGGAUGCAAUACAGCAAUGUGGAGCCAAUCCCAAAAAGCCGAUCUCAGUUCGGAUUGAAGUCUGCAACUCGACUUCAUGAAGCUGGAAUCGCUAGUAAUCGCGUGUCAGCAUAACGCGGUGAAUACGUUCCCGGGUCUU
RNAcentral lists this ribosomal RNA (200 nucleotides) under uncultured prokaryote. Its description in RNAcentral is "partial 16S ribosomal RNA". It matches the Rfam family "Bacterial small subunit ribosomal RNA", at positions 1183 to 1382 of the family's 1533-position model. The record is from RNAcentral.